Long non-coding RNA from Dicentrarchus labrax (European seabass), 407 nucleotides. RefSeq lists it as uncharacterized. The record is from RefSeq and is a predicted model, not a curated record. The transcript is spliced from 3 exons. NCBI's taxonomy places the organism in Eukaryota, Metazoa, Chordata, Actinopteri, Moronidae.
ACCACUGGUUGGAGAGGGAGAGAUAGAGGUUUUGGAAUCCAUCAUGCCCUCCCUGGAUAUCAGUAAGGACGAAAACCCAGAUUCACCAGAUGAAGAGGCAGUGAAUGAUUUGAGGAAUAUCUAAAUUGCCAUGGAUGAUUUUUGGGCUCAUCCGAAUAAUUUGGGCUUGGAAGAUGAGGACAGCUCCGAUGAGGAUUUUGUCCCAUCUCUUAAUUUGAGGUAAAUGUCCUUGUUGGUAGUGUAGUGGUACGAGGCACCACUGCCAUGUGGAACACGGUCUUCUGCUUCACCGCGCCCUCUCUGGCUUAUUAGCCAAUCAUUGUUCAUGUCGAGGGAUAAAAGUAGGCCGUGUCCCUCCUCCUGAUCUCUCGCUUCCUGCCUUUUCGGUCCACCUACUCCCGGGCCGU